CCCCUAGAUGUUCUGGGCCGCACGCGCGCUACACUGACUACUUCAACGAGUUGUUUCCUUGAUCGAAAGGUCUGGGUAAUCUUUGAAAGGUAGUCGUGAUGGGGAUAGAUCCUUGCAAUUUUUGAUCUUCAACGAGGAAUUCCUAGUAAACGCAAGUCAUCAGCUUGCAUUGAUUACGUCCCUGCCCUUUGUACACACCGCCCGUCGCACCUACCGAUUGAAUGGUCCGGUGAAAUCUCGGGACGGCGGCUUGGUCGCUUGCGUCCGACUGCUGAAACUUGAUUAAACCAUAUCAUUUAGAGGAAGGUGAAGUCGUAACA
This 320-nucleotide ribosomal RNA is filed under the name uncultured eukaryote. Its description in RNAcentral is "partial 18S ribosomal RNA". It matches the Rfam family "Eukaryotic small subunit ribosomal RNA", at positions 1470 to 1796 of the family's 1831-position model. The record is from RNAcentral.